This 403-nucleotide ribosomal RNA is filed under the name uncultured bacterium. Its description in RNAcentral is "partial 16S ribosomal RNA". It matches the Rfam family "Bacterial small subunit ribosomal RNA", at positions 30 to 526 of the family's 1533-position model. The record is from RNAcentral.
AUUGAACGCUGGCGGCAGGCCUAACACAUGCAAGUCGAGCGAGCGGCGGACGGGUGAGUAAUGUAUGGGGACUGCCCGAUAGAGUUGGAUAACUACUUGAAACGGUAGCUAAUUCCGCAUACUAUCGGAUAACCCAUAGGGGAUUAGCUAGUAGGUGAGGUAAUGGCUCACCGAGGCGACGAUCCCUAGCUGGUCUGAGAGGAUGAUCAGCCAAACUGGGACUGAGACACGGCCCAGACGCCUACGGAGGCAGCAGUGGGGAAUAGGGCACAAUGGGCGAAAGCCUGAUGCAGCCAUGCCGCGUGUAUGAAGAAGGCCCUAGGGUUGUAAAGUACUUUCAGUCGGGAGGCGGUACCGACAGAAGAAGCACCGGCUAACUCCGUGCCAGCAGCCGCGGUAAUUC